This 546-nucleotide ribosomal RNA is filed under the name uncultured bacterium. Its description in RNAcentral is "bacterial SSU rRNA". It matches the Rfam family "Bacterial small subunit ribosomal RNA", at positions 852 to 1398 of the family's 1533-position model. The record is from RNAcentral.
CGAAAGCGUUAAGUAUCCCACCUGGGGAGUACGCCGGCAACGGUGAAACUCAAAGGAAUUGACGGGGGCCCGCACAAGCGGAGGAACAUGUGGUUUAAUUCGAUGAUACGCGAGGAACCUUACCCGGGCUUGAAUUGCGACUGACUGCAUCAGAGAUGAUGUUUCCAGCAAUGGCAGUCGUGAAGGUGCUGCAUGGUUGUCGUCAGCUCGUGCCGUGAGGUGUCGGCUUAAGUGCCAUAACGAGCGCAACCCUUUUCCCUGUUUGCCAUCGGGUAAUGCCGGGCACUCCAGGGAUACUGCCAUCGUAAGAUGUGAGGAAGGUGGGGAUGACGUCAAAUCAGCACGGCCCUUACGUCCGGGGCUACACACGUGUUACAAUGGGCGGCACAGAGGGCAGCGACCGCGCGAGCGGCAGCCAAUCCCGAAAUCCGCUCUCAGUUCGGACUGGAGUCUGCAACCCGACUCCACGAAGCUGGAUUCGCUAGUAAUCGCGCAUCAGCCAUGGCGCGGUGAAUACGUUCCCGGGCCUUGUACUCACCGCCCGUC